RNAcentral lists this non-coding RNA (24 nucleotides) under Drosophila melanogaster (fruit fly). Lineage: Eukaryota; Metazoa; Arthropoda; Insecta; Diptera; Drosophilidae. The record is from RNAcentral.
UUCUGUCGUUCGAGCUUUGCCAAU